AUGCUCGCUUUGGCAGCACAGAUACUAAAAUUGGAAUGUUACAGAGAUUAGCAUGGUCCAUGAGCAAAGAUGACACGCAAACUUGUGAAGCAUUCCAUGUUUUU
RNAcentral lists this small nuclear RNA (104 nucleotides) under Castor canadensis (American beaver). The record is from RNAcentral. Lineage: Eukaryota; Metazoa; Chordata; Mammalia; Rodentia; Castoridae.